AGAUAAAAAGUCAGCAGUAUACUGUAUAUCACAUAGAAGUGGUGUACAUCAUCUGAAAGAUGGGAACCUGAAGAUUAAUUUGAGAUGCAGCUCAGCACUGUGUGGCAAGAUCUUCUAGUCAUAAAUCAGAACUAAACAUGAAGUUAAAAGUAUAUAA
Sebastes umbrosus (honeycomb rockfish) is the source of this 157-nucleotide long non-coding RNA. RefSeq lists it as uncharacterized. The transcript has 3 exons. Lineage: Eukaryota; Metazoa; Chordata; Actinopteri; Perciformes; Sebastidae. The record is from RefSeq and is a predicted model, not a curated record.